CGAAUUGCGCUCCAGUUUAACUCCUGCCUAUAACAACUUUAUGGGAUUCUUCCAUGCCAUUGACUGGAGGGAGCCAUGGUUGAUAUGCCUAGUUGCUUUCCAUGCUGUGCUCUUCCUAGUGGCAAUCAUUACAAGGAGGAAUACUAAUUUUCAGAUGUGCUUGUUCCUUCUUGCAUGUAGGUUUCCUGAUGACAACCUUUGUUCAACAGUUAACGAUAACUGUUCAUUUAUCUCCCUUAAUGACGUGUUUCAACAGAUUGCAAGUCUGAAUUACCUAUGCUUUCAUGUGUUUAUGUCUAAUAUCUAGUUAGAGAACUUCACCAGAUGGAUUUUAGCACCAUCUAAUCUAUCUUACCCAUCAGCCAAAUCUGAAUCCUACAAGAAAAAAUGAUCAAACCCACUUUAUGCUACUAAAGCAAAUGAUAUCCUUCAAGUGGUUGGAGCCGUAGGUUAAUUGAUUGUGAAUCAGUGAAGAAUGGUGAAAAAUCGUGACUCAGAAGAGCUGCCACAUGUUCCAAACCCAAGGUGAAAAUUCAUCAGCUGAGUUGUGUGGUAAGGACAUGUAUAGGUGAGAAAAUCAAGUUAAAUCGUUGAAGAUAGACGAAAGGGCCUGUGAUCAGUCAUGGAAGAGAUAUGGCAUAUUAAGUACGUUUCUACGGAGAGGAAUGAAGGUCUCUGACUCUCUGGUUAAGGAAUAGCUCAUGGCUAGUAAAUAUAUUGGACGAAGGAGGAGUACUGAAUGAGGGGCAUUUGGGUCUCAGAAAAGAAAAGGGAAAAAAAAUAGAGUGCAGUGCAAUUAUAGAAAAAAUGGAGUGACAUUUACAUAUUAUUUAUCUAUUCCGUAUGAUGAUUGAAAUACUUAAUGCUAAAAGUUAGGGGAAAGCAAGACUACAGUUCUCAAAUUGUAACUUCUGCUUUUAGUCACCUCUGGCAAUCUCUGCUUUAUGCAUGCAAUCGCUCACAGGAGAAGAAAAAGCAACUAAAAAGACGCAUGCAUAAAAGCCAACAAAAUGAGCACUUUUUUGUUUCAUGAUUGUUAAUCUAACACAAAAGCUGCAUAGUAAUAUAUCACAAAGGAGCUAUAUAAUAGGCCAAGGGACAUGAAGUUUUGUCCCUUUCAUUCAUAUUCUGUUUAUGUUUGUUACAAUGUACUCUUGUACGUGCUUGGAUGUUUUCGAAGUUCCACUUUUGCUCUCACACUGCUUCCUUCAAUGACUUUUGAACUUCUCUCACUCGAGCUUCUUGAAAGUUAAAAAAGAAAAAUGAAAAAAAA
Coffea arabica (coffee) is the source of this 1273-nucleotide non-coding RNA. The record is from RefSeq and is a predicted model, not a curated record. Lineage: Eukaryota; Viridiplantae; Streptophyta; Magnoliopsida; Gentianales; Rubiaceae.